Molecule: ribosomal RNA, 291 nt
Filed under: Clostridioides difficile
Lineage: Bacteria; Bacillati; Bacillota; Clostridia; Peptostreptococcales; Peptostreptococcaceae
Description: partial 16S ribosomal RNA
Rfam family: Bacterial small subunit ribosomal RNA
Source: RNAcentral
AAGCCGUAAGGUGGAGCUAAUCCCUUAAAGCUACUCUCAGUUCGGAUUGUAGGCUGAAACUCGCCUACAUGAAGCUGGAGUUACUAGUAAUCGCAGAUCAGAAUGCUGCGGUGAAUGCGUUCCCGGGUCUUGUACACACCGCCCGUCACACCACGGGAGUUGGAGACGCCCGAAGCCGAUUAUCUAACCUUUUGGAAGAAGUCGUCGAAGGUGGAAUCAAUAACUGGGGUGAAGUCGUAACAAGGUAGCCGUAUCGGAAGGUGCGGCUGGAUCACCUCCUUUCUAAGGAGA